UGAUAGUGAGUAUGACAACUACCGCGGAUGUAUGACAAGUGAUUGUGAAUCUGAGAUGAACGGUGAGGAUGGGGAGGUGGAGAGGAUGGAGGGCGGUGUUGAAGACAUUAACAUGGAGAAUAUCCGUCAGCUCAGUCAGAAUAUCACAAACAAAUUCGGGAACAGAUCUGAAACGGAAAACGGAGAAACGUAACAGAGAAGCAUAAAAUAAAAUUUGACAAACAUCUUAAAGUCUUGAAACCAACUAAUUAUCUAUCUAUCUAUCUUUGGCAAUAGACAAUAGACAAAACAUGGAUAGCAAUAUUGUUAAAAGACGACAAUUUAAACGUCUUUCUUGCCACUCUAAAGAAAAGGGCCGAAACAAGAAAAUAAGAAAUUAGAAUUUUAAAAUAUUAGUUUAUCAAAUAUCUGUAAAUGUUGAAUAACCACAGAGAGCUAAAUUGUAAAAAGGUUGGGGUUCAAGGGGGGGGAAAUGAUCAACAACGCCCCCCCCCCUCUCCCAGCCGUUCUUCCGAGAUGAAAUUAUUAUGCAAACUCCUCUGAUAUUAGUCCUUUUCUUAAGAAAUUUAAUUUCUAGAUUCAUUUUUACAGUUUUAUAAAAAAUAUUGUUAAGUUAUAUAUAAUGACGACAUCUGUCUCCCCUGAUGCAAGAAACCGGUCUAAAAUACAUAUUGUGAAUAUAAUCAUAAACUUUAUAAUAAAUAAAUGAUUAUUUAUA
Long non-coding RNA from Eurytemora carolleeae, 718 nucleotides. RefSeq lists it as uncharacterized. The record is from RefSeq and is a predicted model, not a curated record. NCBI's taxonomy places the organism in Eukaryota, Metazoa, Arthropoda, Copepoda, Calanoida, Temoridae. The transcript has 2 exons.